UACGAAGGGGGCGAGCGUUAUUCGGAAUCACUGGGCGUAAAGCGUGCGUAGGCGGCCUCGCAAGUUAGAAGUGAAAGCCCAGGGCUCAACCCUGGAAUUGCUUUUAAAACUGCAAGGCUAGAAUCUCGGAGAGGAUAGCGGAAUUUCCAGUGUAGCAGUGAAAUGCGUAGAUAUUGGAAGGAACACCAGUGGCGUAAGCGGCUAUCUGGACGAGUAUUGACGCUGAGGCACGAAAGCGUGGGGAUCAAACAGG
Molecule: ribosomal RNA, 253 nt
Filed under: uncultured bacterium
Lineage: Bacteria
Description: partial 16S ribosomal RNA
Rfam family: Bacterial small subunit ribosomal RNA
Source: RNAcentral